UGGUGGUGGGGGCGCGGGGCGACCUCGCCUCACGGAGGCCUCGGCAGCGGUCCCGGGCAGGGCAGAGCGGGCUGAGGCGGGAUCCAUGGGUGGGACAGCGCUUUCGCCUCUGCUUUGGCUUCCGGGCGGUGAGGGAGAAUUCGCGUUAGCCCCCUCCCGCAGCCGAGCGUGAAAACGAGUCGUUUCGGUGCGGACACUGAAGGAACUGUAUGGUUUUAACCGCGGGGCCCUCGUGCGGCCCGUAGCCAUAAUCCCUCCAGUGACCUGGGAAUAAGGAGUAUAAAAGCCUGAUUCGAUGUGAGCGUCAGGCGAGUGACAAAGUGGCCGCUGGAAAUUGCGCUCUGUGCGUGUCAGCCGGUGGCGUUGGACUGCCCUGGCCACACGGCGUUCCCAUCAUGAGAAUUGUCCAGGAGUGGUUACACAGCUCAUUUUGAUACAGUUCCAAACUGGUAGCAAGUGACUUUGCUGUUCCCCACUCGUCCUAAAGUAAUAAGUACAUUGUCAUUUGUAUCCUGUGGAAACCUGUAUCAAAAUCCUUUACCUGUUUUUGGUAACUGCUGGGCUAGUGCUACUGACUACUAUCUCAGGUCCCCCAGCCUGGUGGUCUGCCAGAACUGUACUUACCAAAGCAGAAUUACGUGGAAGAUUGCUGUAGUUCAAGCGGAGUAUAUGUUCACAACACCCUAUGAAAUGAAGCUUUUUGGAGGUAGUAACUAUCAAAUCCAGAGCAGGUUAAAUUUUCUACUAUUACAGAAUUGGAAUAAUUUAUUUGCAAUGACUGGAUCUACAAAUAGUUAUGCCUGGAGCUCCAGUGAUGGCUGAACAGUGCAUGACACAAGGUGGCAGGUGGUACAGCAUAAGGAGAUCAGAAUAGUUCACAGAGGCUGGACUUUACACUCUCUGAUCUUCCUGGUAAGACUUCUUGCCCUGAAUUUCAUCAUUAGAAAUCUCAUUAGCCAACUGUAGGAAAUAGAGAGGGGAGAAAUAACAAUAACUUCUUGUUCCCUACAUGCUCUCCUCCCCAUGUAAGAGAAAUUAAAGUCAAAUGCAACAUAGCAGGAGAUAGUAAAAAAAUUAGAGGUUUUGAAACAAGGAAACUCUAUGUCAACACUCUACUCUAAAAGCAGGGGAGCAAAAUGUAAAACCCUAAACCAAGUCUCAAUUUGCCAUGAUUUGCAAAGGAAAUAAAUUCUUCUCGAAGGUAGAUAAUGAGUACACCAUAGCCCUCAUGGUAAUAUUGGAGUUAUGAAUCAGGUUAUUAGGUUUAUCUUCAAAUUAAUUCUGUGUUCAGGGGAGUUGCAAUAGAAUGGUGGAUUCACUGAGACUUUGGGUGCUCAAAUAAACUUCUAAACUCCAGGAAGCUUGUCCAUAUACUCCAAAUUUAAGGCUUUGCUAGAACUCCUAUUCAAGUAACACUGAUAUUAGAGGUAAUCUUUAGCAAAUGAGAACAUACUGAGCAAUUAUUAUCAGUGGCCCUAAGAUGACACUUUUUUUCAAGAAAUGCCAUUUGAGGAUUUGCAGAUGAUAAUUGAAUAUCUCAAAUAUUUUCUAGCAGCAAAACCAGCACUGCAAGAGGCAUGACUUAAUUUAAAGGAUCAGUUAUUCUUAAUAAUUGAAUUUCAUGAGAUAAUCAUAAAUGUAUAAUCAACAAAAUGCAAAACCAUAAAAUCUGUCAUUGUAGUUAGAAAAUCUGAUUUAAAUGUCAGAAUAAAUGUUGCUUGUGUAACUGAUCAAAUGAAAAGGGAAUAAAAUUAAUUCUUACCCUUUUUUCUGUUAGA
Long non-coding RNA from Corvus hawaiiensis (hawaiian crow), 1778 nucleotides. RefSeq lists it as uncharacterized. The record is from RefSeq and is a predicted model, not a curated record. NCBI's taxonomy places the organism in Eukaryota, Metazoa, Chordata, Aves, Passeriformes, Corvidae. The transcript is spliced from 3 exons.